AGAUCAGAGUGUUGGUCGUGCCUUGGUACGUACUGGCAUUAUUGGUUUCUCCCCUCUGACGAACCAUGAUGUCAUUAAUUUGGUGUCAUGGGGAAUCAGGACUGUUACUUUGAAAAAAUUAGAGUGUUUAAAGCAGGCUCGCGCUUGAAUACAUUAGCAUGGAAUAAUGAAAUAGGACGUUUAAUUCUAUUUUGUUGGUUUCUAGGAUUGACGUAAUGAUUAAUAGGGAUAGUUG
Molecule: ribosomal RNA, 235 nt
Filed under: uncultured Glomus
Lineage: Eukaryota; Fungi; Glomeromycota; Glomeromycetes; Glomerales; Glomeraceae
Description: partial 18S ribosomal RNA
Rfam family: Eukaryotic small subunit ribosomal RNA (bases 46-235)
Source: RNAcentral